CACGUAGGGGGGCAAGCGUUGUCCGGAUUUAUUGGGCGUAAAGAGCUCGUAGGCGGUUCGGUAAGUCAGGUGUGAAACCUCCAGGCUCAACCUGGAGACGCCACCUGAUACUGCUGUGACUCGAGUCCGGUAGGGGAGCGUGGAAUUCCUGGUGUAGCGGUGAAAUGCGCAGAUAUCAGGAGGACCACCGAUGGCGAAGGCAGGUCUCUGGGCCGAUACUGACGCUGAGGAGCGAAAGCGUGGGGAGCGAACAGG
This 255-nucleotide ribosomal RNA is filed under the name uncultured bacterium. Its description in RNAcentral is "partial 16S ribosomal RNA". It matches the Rfam family "Bacterial small subunit ribosomal RNA", at positions 524 to 776 of the family's 1533-position model. The record is from RNAcentral.